CCCUUAGACGUUCUGGGCCGCACGCGCGCUACAAUGGCAGACUCAGCGAGUUACCUCUGUCGAAAGGCACAGGGAAUCUUUACAGUAUCUGCCGUGAUGGGGAUAGACCCUUGUAAUUUUUGGUCUUCAACGAGGAAUUCCUAGUAAACGCAAGUCAUUAACUUGCAUUGAUUACGUCCCUGCCCUUUGUACACACCGCCCGUCGCACCUACCGAUUGAAUGGUCCGGUGAAGUCCUCGGACCCAGUUGAACCUCGAGUUGAACAGGGAAAGUUGACUAAAUCUUACCAUUUAGAGGAAGGUGAAGUCGUAACA
Molecule: ribosomal RNA, 314 nt
Filed under: uncultured eukaryote
Lineage: Eukaryota
Description: partial 18S ribosomal RNA
Rfam family: Eukaryotic small subunit ribosomal RNA
Source: RNAcentral